AGUCGUAACAAGGUAUCCGUAGGUGAACCUGCGGAUGGAUCAUUAACAAAGGUCCAUCCUUCCAUUUGUGAACUGGUCUUUACCGCGGUUGGCGCCGUGCCUGCAGUUGGGUGAUUCCGCUCUGGGCGCCGGGGCUGAUUGUAGUGGCACUAACGCCGCUGCGAUUGGGCUCGGGGUGUCAACUGUACCCUUAAUCGUAUUUACAAGAAGCACUAAAGUACGUUUCCUAACAGAAACAAAAUUACAACUUUUAGCAAUGGAUCUCUAGGCUCUU
This 274-nucleotide unclassified non-coding RNA is filed under the name fungal sp. RNAcentral's name for it is "partial internal transcribed spacer region". The stretch from base 1 to 45 matches the Rfam family "Eukaryotic small subunit ribosomal RNA", at positions 1787 to 1831 of the family's 1831-position model. The record is from RNAcentral. Lineage: Eukaryota; Fungi.